GCUCUGGUGGCCUAAUGGUUAGAGCGUCCGCCUCGGAUGCGGGGGUUCGUUGGUUCGAUCCACCAAAGACG
Non-coding RNA from Potamilus streckersoni, 71 nucleotides. The record is from the annotation of a GenBank genome assembly. Lineage: Eukaryota; Metazoa; Mollusca; Bivalvia; Unionida; Unionidae.